UCACAAUGGGGGAAACCCUGAUGGUGCGACGCCGCGUGGGGGAAUGAAGGUCUUCGGAUUGUAAACCCCUGUCAUGUGGGAGCAAAUUAAAAAGAUAGUACCACAAGAGGAAGAGACGGCUAACUCUGUGCCAGCAGCCGCGGUAAUACAGAGGUCUCAAGCGUUGUUCGGAAUCACUGGGCGUAAAGCGUGCGCAGGCGGUUUCGUAAGUCGUGUGUGAAAGGCGGGGGCUCAACCCCCGGACUGCACAUGAUACUGCGAGACUAGAGUAAUGGAGGGGGAACCGGAAUUCACGGUGUAGCA
RNAcentral lists this ribosomal RNA (303 nucleotides) under Akkermansia muciniphila. RNAcentral describes it as "bacterial SSU rRNA". It matches the Rfam family "Bacterial small subunit ribosomal RNA", at positions 366 to 680 of the family's 1533-position model. The record is from RNAcentral. Lineage: Bacteria; Pseudomonadati; Verrucomicrobiota; Verrucomicrobiia; Verrucomicrobiales; Akkermansiaceae.